UUAUAUGGUCAAGAAGAGAAGCGCAAACGGUGGAUGCCUUGGCAGUAAGAGGCGAAGAAGGACGUGGAAUCCUGCGAAAAGCUAUGGGGAGCUGGAAACGAGCGUUGAGCCAUAGAUGUCCGAAUGGGGGAACCCGGCUGCAGCGAUGCGGUCAUUUGCAUUUGAAUACAUAGGAUGCAAAGGCGAACUCGGGGAACUGAAACAUCUAAGUACCCGAAGGAAAAGAAAUCAAGAGAGAUUCUCCAAGUAGCGGCGAGCGAACGGGGAGGAGCCUGGCGUGAUUUAUUAUUGAACUGAGUAGAACAAUUUGGGAAAGUUGGCGAUAGAGGGUGAAAGCCCCGUAUACGAAGGUUUGAUGAGGAACUAGGCACGCGAACAAGUAGGCCGGGACACGUGAAAUCCUGGUUGAAGAUGGGUGGACCAUCAUCCAAGGCUAAAUACUACUUACUGACCGAUAGUGAACCAGUACCGUGAGGGAAAGGUGAAAAGAACCCCGGAGAGGGGAGUGAAAUAGAAUCUGAAACCGUUUGCGUACAAGCAGUGGGAGCAUGGUUUAGGCUGUGUGACUGCGUACCUUUUGUAUAAUGGGUCAGCGAGUUACUUUCAGUGGCGAGGUUAACUGCAUAAGGGAGCCGUAGAGAAAUCGAGUCUGAAUAGGGCGAUAGUCGCUGGGAGUAGACCCGAAACCGGGCGAUCUAGCCAUGUGCAGGAUGAAGGUUGGGUAACACCAACUGGAGGUCCGAACCGGGUAAUGUUGAAAAAUUAUCGGAUGACGUGUGGCUAGGAGUGAAAGGCUAAUCAAGCCCGGAGAUAGCUGGUUCUCCCCGAAAGCUAUUUAGGUAGCGCCUCGUGAAUGAUUACUGGGGGUAGAGCACUGUUUCGGCUAGGGGGCUGUCAUGGCUUACCAAACCGAUGCAAACUCCGAAUACCGGCUAAUUGAAUCACGGGAGACACACGGCGGGUGCUAACGUCCGUCGUGGAGAGGGAAACAACCCAGACCGCCAGCUAAGGUCCCCAAGUACUAGUUAAGUGGGAAACGAUGUGGGAAGGCAUAGACAGCCAGGAGGUUGGCUUAGAAGCAGCCACCCUUUAAAGAAAGCGUAAUAGCUCACUGGUCGAGUCGGCCUGCGCGGAAGAUGUAACGGGGCUAAAACUAGUCACCGAAGCUGCGGAUGUGCGCGAAGGCGCACGUGGUAGGGGAGCGUUCUGUAGGCUGAUGAAGGUGCAUUGAGAAGUGUGCUGGAGGUAUCAGAAGUGCGAAUGCUGACAUGAGUAACGAUAAUGUGGGUGAAAAGCCCACACGCCGGAAGUCCCAGGUUUCCUGCACGACGUUAAUCGGAGCAGGGUGAGUCGGCCCCUAAGGCGAGGCUGAAGAGCGUAGUCGAUGGGAACCAGGUUAAUAUUCCUGGACUUUUUAUAAGUGGUGAAGUGGGGACGAAGAAGGCUAGGUGAGCCAGGCGUUGGUUGUCCUGGUACUUGCAUGUAGGGGGGAAGACUUGGCAAAUCCGGUUUUCCAUAACUCUGAGGUGCGAAGUGGUUCUGACCUUUUGGUACAGAGAAGUCAUUGAUGCCCGGCUUCCAGGAAAAGCUGCUAGCCAUAACUUAUAGAGAACCGUACCGCAAACCGACACAGGUGGACAGGUAGAGAAUACUAAGGCGCUUGAGAGAACUCGGGUGAAGGAACUAGGCAAAAUGGUACCGUAACUUCGGGAGAAGGUACGCCCUUUCUGGUGAUGGGAUUUACUUUC
This 1748-nucleotide ribosomal RNA is filed under the name Legionella pneumophila. RNAcentral describes it as "partial 23S ribosomal RNA". It matches the Rfam family "Bacterial large subunit ribosomal RNA", at positions 1 to 1769 of the family's 2925-position model. The record is from RNAcentral. Lineage: Bacteria; Pseudomonadati; Pseudomonadota; Gammaproteobacteria; Legionellales; Legionellaceae.